AGUGAACGCUGGCGGUAGGCCUAACACAUGCAAGUCGAACGGCAGCACAGAGGAGCUUGCUCCUUGGGUGGCGAGUGGCGGACGGGUGAGGAGUACAUCGGAAUCUACUCUGUCGUGGGGGAUAACGUAGGGAAACUUACGCUAAUACCGCAUACGACCUACGGGUGAAAGCAGGGGAUCUUCGGACCUUGCGCGAUUGAAUGAGCCGAUGUCGGAUUAGCUAGUUGGCGGGGUAAAGGCCCACCAAGGCGACGAUCCGUAGCUGGUCUGAGAGGAUAAUCAGCUACACGGGCACUGAGACACGGUCCAGACUCCUACGGGACGCAGCAGGGGGGAAUAUUGGACAAUGGGCGCAAGCCUGAGCCAGCCAUACCGCGUGGGUGAAGAGGGCCUUCGGGUUGUAAAGCCCUUUUGUUGGGAAAGAAAUCCAUCUGGUUAAUACCCGGGUGGGAUGACGGUACCCAAAGAAUAAGCACCGGCUAACUUCGUGCCAGCAGCAGCGGUAA
RNAcentral lists this ribosomal RNA (506 nucleotides) under uncultured bacterium. RNAcentral's name for it is "partial 16S ribosomal RNA". It matches the Rfam family "Bacterial small subunit ribosomal RNA", at positions 29 to 523 of the family's 1533-position model. The record is from RNAcentral.